GACGAACGCUGGCGGCGUGCCUAAUACAUGCAAGUCGAGCGGACGAAUCGAAAGCUUGCUUUUGAUUCGUUAGCGGCGGACGGGUGAGUAACACGUGGGCAACCUGCCCUGUAGACGGGGAUAACACCGAGAAAUCGGUGCUAAUACCGGAUAACACGAAAUGUCGCAUGACGUUUCGUUGAAAGACGGCGCAAGCUGCCGCUACAGGAUGGGCCCGCGGCGCAUUAGCUAGUUGGUGAGGUAACGGCUCACCAAGGCGACGAUACGUAGCCGACCUGAGAGGGUGAUCGGCCACACUGGGACUGAGACACGGCCCAGACUCCUACGGGAGGCAGCAGUAGGGAAUCUUCCGCAAUGGACGAAAGUCUGACGGAGCAACGCCGCAUGAGCGAAGAAGGCCUUCGGGUCGUAAAGCUCUGUUGUUAGGGAAGAACAAGUAACGCAGUAACUGGCGUUACCGUGACGGUACCUAACGAGAAAGCCACGGCUAACUACGUG
RNAcentral lists this ribosomal RNA (498 nucleotides) under uncultured bacterium. Its description in RNAcentral is "partial 16S ribosomal RNA". It matches the Rfam family "Bacterial small subunit ribosomal RNA", at positions 28 to 507 of the family's 1533-position model. The record is from RNAcentral.